This 461-nucleotide long non-coding RNA is filed under the name Phoenix dactylifera (date palm). RNAcentral describes it as "long non-coding RNA (PDAC_LNC003945)". The record is from RNAcentral. Lineage: Eukaryota; Viridiplantae; Streptophyta; Magnoliopsida; Arecales; Arecaceae.
CAGGCUCUUUACUUGUUCAAUCAAACCACAAUUAUUGUUCUCCCUGAUGAUUUAGAACGCAAACCGAUCGAGCUAUGAAUCUAUGAUGGACAAUUAAUAACACGGGACAUAAUUUUAAAAGAAAAAAAGCAAAACCAAUCAAUUUCUCAAUAUAAACCAAAAAGAAAAAAAAACGUUUUCUUUUCAAGAAAGUCCCGCAAGAACAUGGACACAGCAGAAAAAACUGAGGGAAAGAAAAGGGAGAGAUCUUGGAUUCUUGAUGAACAAGGAAAAGUUAUCAAAAAGCCCGCCUAUGGUAAGAAAAAUCGUUGACUUUCCAAGCGAAGGCGACUUAGUUGCUGUUGGCUGCGCCACAUCAAAAAACCCCAACUUUCAAGAACUCCAUACCAGAAAUCCACACAGAGAACAUCAAGAACCAGAUCUCAGAUAUCAAAAACCAAGAACAGAACCAAAACCUAAAU